RNAcentral lists this transfer RNA (72 nucleotides) under Culex quinquefasciatus (southern house mosquito). RNAcentral's name for it is "tRNA-Thr". The record is from RNAcentral. Lineage: Eukaryota; Metazoa; Arthropoda; Insecta; Diptera; Culicidae.
CAGUGCGUGGCCGAAUGGUUACGCUGUCCGUUUUGUAAGCGGAUGAUUCUGGGUUCGAUUCCCAUCUGCUGA